Molecule: ribosomal RNA, 484 nt
Filed under: uncultured bacterium
Lineage: Bacteria
Description: partial 16S ribosomal RNA
Rfam family: Bacterial small subunit ribosomal RNA
Source: RNAcentral
GACGAACGCUGGCGGCGUGCUUAACACAUGCAAGUCGAACGAUGAAGCCGGAGCUUGCUCUGGUGAAUUAGUGGCGAACGGGUGAGUAACACGUGAGAAACCUGCCCUUGACUCUGGGAUAACGGCGGGAAACUGUAGCUGAUACCGGAUACGACCCUCGGAGGCAUCUCCUGGGGGUGGAAAGAAUUUCGGUCAAGGAUGGACUCGCGGCCUAUCAGCUAGGUGGUGAGGUAAAGGCUCACCAAGGCGACGACGGGUAGCCGGCCUGAGAGGGUGACCGGCCACACUGGGACUGAGACACGGCCCAGACUCCUACGGGAGGCAGCAGUGGGGAAUAUUGCACAAUGGGCGCAAGCCUGAUGCAGCAACGCCGCGUGAGGGAUGACGGCCUUCGGGUUGUAAACCUCUUUUAGCAGGGAAGAAGCGAAAGUGACGGUACCUGCAGAAAAAGCACCGGCUAACUACGUGCCAGCAGCCGCGGUAA